UACGUAGGGUGCGAGCGUUGUCCGGAAUUAUUGGGCGUAAAGAGCUCGUAGGCGGUCUGUCGCGUCGGUCGUGAAAACCUGCAGCUUAACUGUGGGCGUGCGGUCGAUACGGGCAUGACUGGAGUUCGGCAGGGGAGACUGGAAUUCCUGGUGUAGCGGUGAAAUGCGCAGAUAUCAGGAGGAACACCGGUGGCGAAGGCGGUUCUCUGGGCCUUACCUGACGCUGAGGAGCGAAAGCAUGGGGAGCAAACAGG
RNAcentral lists this ribosomal RNA (254 nucleotides) under uncultured bacterium. Its description in RNAcentral is "partial 16S ribosomal RNA". It matches the Rfam family "Bacterial small subunit ribosomal RNA", at positions 524 to 776 of the family's 1533-position model. The record is from RNAcentral.